GACGGAAGGUGCAAGCGUUGCUCGGAAUCACUGGGCGUAAAGGGUGCGUAGGCGGCUUGGUAAGUUGGGUGUGAAAGCCCCGGGCUCAGCCCGGGAAGGGCACUCGAAACUGCCGAGCUGGAGUGCCGGAGGGGAGAGUGGAAUUCCUGGUGUAGCGGUGAAAUGCGCAGAUAUCAGGAAGAACACCCGUGGCGAAGGCGGCUCUCUGGGACGGUACUGACGCUGAGACGCGAAAGCGUGGGGAGCGAACAGG
RNAcentral lists this ribosomal RNA (253 nucleotides) under uncultured bacterium. RNAcentral's name for it is "partial 16S ribosomal RNA". It matches the Rfam family "Bacterial small subunit ribosomal RNA", at positions 524 to 776 of the family's 1533-position model. The record is from RNAcentral.